GAUGAAGAACGUAGCGAAAUGCGAUAAGUAAUGUGAAUUGCAGAAUUCAGUGAAUCAUCGAGUCUUUGAACGCGCAUUGCGCCCCCUGGUAUUCCGGGGGGCAUGCCUGUCCGAGCGUCAUUGCUGCCCUCAAGCACGGCUUGUGUGUUGGGCCCCCGUCCCCGGUUUCCCCCGGGGACGGGCCCGAAAGGCAGCGGCGGCACCGCGUCCGGUCCUCGAGCGUAUGGGGCUUUGUCACCCGCUCUGUAGGCCCGGCCGGCGCCAGCCGACACCCAACUUUAUUUCUAAGGUUGACCUCGGAUCAGGUAGGGAUACCCGCUGAACUUAAGCAUAUCAAUAAGCGGAGGA
This 348-nucleotide unclassified non-coding RNA is filed under the name soil metagenome. RNAcentral describes it as "partial contains 5.8S ribosomal RNA, internal transcribed spacer 2, and large subunit ribosomal RNA". The stretch from base 1 to 120 matches the Rfam family "5.8S ribosomal RNA", at positions 35 to 154 of the family's 154-position model. The record is from RNAcentral.